RNAcentral lists this long non-coding RNA (504 nucleotides) under Nicotiana benthamiana. RNAcentral describes it as "long non-coding RNA (NBEN_LNC032803)". The record is from RNAcentral. Lineage: Eukaryota; Viridiplantae; Streptophyta; Magnoliopsida; Solanales; Solanaceae.
UUUUCUUUUGCAUUAUAUUCAUUUUUGUAAUGACCAUUCCUGCCACAAUGUGUGCUGAUUUUGUUUUCAGGAAGAGUGAUAUACUUGCUUUUGGGAUCCACAUAGGUGCUUGGGUCCCAUAGCCAAGUCCUCUCUUAUUGCUACUAUGAUGUUCUUAAAGCCAGGAUAGUACAUCAGAAGCCUUAUUCCAUUUGCAAGUUCUGUCUACUUCAUGUUUUACCUUCCCUAGGUCUUCUUUGAGGACUCAUAUCUGUUCAUCUUUCUUGUACAACUCAUCUUUCAUUUUUCCUACGUUUUGUCUAAGGUGAGAUGUGUGUGAUUAGGUUUCUUAUUCCAUCUUUCUAAUUUCAAUUUUAAAUGUUUAGACCUAAGUUCUGAAACACAUAUGUCGAGUUCAAGAAACUGGUUCUUCAACUCAACAUUUUUACUAUCACUCUCAUUAGUCCUAGAUUCUAGAUUUUUGCACUUGGCUUUUAAGAUCACACAUCCCUAGACAGAUGUUCC